This 17-nucleotide microRNA is filed under the name Corchorus olitorius. RNAcentral describes it as "hsa-miR-44". Lineage: Eukaryota; Viridiplantae; Streptophyta; Magnoliopsida; Malvales; Malvaceae. The record is from RNAcentral.
ACAGGGAGGAUAUUGUA